UACAGAGGGGGCAAGCGUUGUUCGGAAUUACUGGGCGUAAAGGGCGCGUAGGCGGCCUGUUAAGUCGAACGUGAAAUCCCCGGGCUCAACCCGGGAACUGCGUCCGAUACUGGCAGGCUUGAAUUCGGGAGAGGGAUGCGGAAUUCCAGGUGUAGCGGUGAAAUGCGUAGAUAUCUGGAGGAACACCGAUGGCGAAGGCAGAUCUCUGGGCCGUAACUGACGCUGAGGAGCGAAAGCAUGGGGAGCGAACAGG
This 253-nucleotide ribosomal RNA is filed under the name uncultured bacterium. RNAcentral's name for it is "partial 16S ribosomal RNA". It matches the Rfam family "Bacterial small subunit ribosomal RNA", at positions 524 to 776 of the family's 1533-position model. The record is from RNAcentral.